AAUGGGCGCAAGCCUGAUCCAGCCAUGCCGCGUGAGUGAAGAAGGCCUUCGGGUUGUAAAGCUCUUUCGGCCGGGAAGAAAUCGUGGUCUCUAACAUAGGCCAUGGAUGACGGUACCGGACUAAGAAGCACCGGCUAACUACGUGCCAGCAGCCGCGGUAAUACGUAGGGUGCGAGCGUUAAUCGGAAUUACUGGGCGUAAAGCGUGCGCAGGCGGUUUGGUAAGACAGGCGUGGAAUCCCCGGGCUUAACCUGGGAACUGCGCUUGUGACUGCCAGGCUAGAGUACGGCAGAGGGGGGUGGAAUUCCACGUGUAGCAGUGAAAUGCGUAGAGAUGUGGAGGAACACCAAUGGCGAAGGCAGCCCCCUGGGUCGAUACUGACGCUCAUGCACGAAAGCGUGGGUAGCAAA
Molecule: ribosomal RNA, 410 nt
Filed under: uncultured bacterium
Lineage: Bacteria
Description: bacterial SSU rRNA
Rfam family: Bacterial small subunit ribosomal RNA
Source: RNAcentral